RNAcentral lists this ribosomal RNA (481 nucleotides) under uncultured bacterium. RNAcentral's name for it is "partial 16S ribosomal RNA". It matches the Rfam family "Bacterial small subunit ribosomal RNA", at positions 28 to 507 of the family's 1533-position model. The record is from RNAcentral.
GACGAACGUUGGCGGCGUGCUUAAUACAUGCAAGUCAACUGAAGCAGUGGUAGCAAUAUCGCUGUGGAGGUGGCGCACGGGUGAGUAACACGUAGGUAAUCUGCCUUCAGGUCUGGCAUAACUCCGGGAAACCGGGGCUAAUAGCAGAUGAUGCAGCGGCUCGACAUCGAGACAGUUGUUAAAGCUAUGGCGCCUGAAGAUGAGCCUGCGUCUGAUUAGCUAGUUGGCGGGGUAACGGCCCACCAAGGCAACGAUCAGUAGCUGGUCUGAGAGGAUGAUCAGCCACACUGGAACUGAGACACGGUCCAGACUCCUACGGGAGGCAGCAGUAAGGAAUAUUGCUCAAUGGGAGAAAUCCUGAAGCAGCAACGCCGCGUGAGGGACGAAGGUCUUUUGCUUGUAAACCUCUGUAGUGAGAGAAAAAAAUCCCAAUCUUUGGGACAUGAUGGUAUCUCAAAAGUAAGCCCCGGCUAACUACGUG